GACGAACGCUGGCGGCGUGCUUAACACAUGCAAGUCGAACGGAAAGGCCCUGCUUUUGUGGGGUGCUCGAGUGGCGAACGGGUGAGUAACACGUGAGUAACCUGCCCUUGACUUUGGGAUAACUUCAGGAAACUGGGGCUAAUACCGGAUAGGAGCUCCUGCUGCAUGGUGGGGGUUGGAAAGUUUCGGUGGUUGGGGAUGGACUCGCGGCUUAUCAGCUUGUUGGUGGGGUAGUGGCUUACCAAGGCUUUGACGGGUAGCCGGCCUGAGAGGGUGACCGGCCACAUUGGGACUGAGAUACGGCACAGACUCCUACGGGAGGCAGCAGUGGGGAAUAUUGCACAAUGGGCGGAAGCCUGAUGCAGCAACGCCGCGUGCGGGAUGACGGCCUUCGGGUUGUAAACCGCUUUCGCCUGUGACGAAGCGUGAGUGACGGUAAUGGGUAAAGAAGCACCGGCUAACUACGUG
Molecule: ribosomal RNA, 468 nt
Filed under: uncultured bacterium
Lineage: Bacteria
Description: partial 16S ribosomal RNA
Rfam family: Bacterial small subunit ribosomal RNA
Source: RNAcentral